This 538-nucleotide ribosomal RNA is filed under the name Citrobacter freundii. Its description in RNAcentral is "partial 23S ribosomal RNA". It matches the Rfam family "Bacterial large subunit ribosomal RNA", at positions 2261 to 2798 of the family's 2925-position model. The record is from RNAcentral. Lineage: Bacteria; Pseudomonadati; Pseudomonadota; Gammaproteobacteria; Enterobacterales; Enterobacteriaceae. RNAcentral also lists the same sequence under 2 other names.
GUGGGUAGUUUGACUGGGGCGGUCUCCUCCUAAAGAGUAACGGAGGAGCACGAAGGUUAGCUAAUCCUGGUCGGACAUCAGGAGGUUAGUGCAAAGGCAUAAGCUAGCUUGACUGCGAGCGUGACGGCGCGAGCAGGUGCGAAAGCAGGUCUUAGUGAUCCGGUGGUUCUGAAUGGAAGGGCCAUCGCUCAACGGAUAAAAGGUACUCCGGGGAUAACAGGCUGAUACCGCCCAAGAGUUCAUAUCGACGGCGGUGUUUGGCACCUCGAUGUCGGCUCAUCACAUCCUGGGGCUGAAGUAGGUCCCAAGGGUAUGGCUGUUCGCCAUUUAAAGUGGUACGCGAGCUGGGUUUAGAACGUCGUGAGACAGUUCGGUCCCUAUCUGCCGUGGGCGCUGGAGAAUUGAGGGGGGCUGCUCCUAGUACGAGAGGACCGGAGUGGACGCAUCACUGGUGUUCGGGUUGUCAUGCCAAUGGCACUGCCCGGUAGCUAAAUGCGGAAGAGAUAAGUGCUGAAAGCAUCUAAGCACGAAACUUGCC